GAUGAACGCUGGCGGCGUGCUUAACACAUGCAAGUCGAACGAGAAGUGAAGACGGAACCCUUCGGGCGGAAGGCUUUAUUUCGAGUGGCGGACGGGUGAGUAACGCGUGGGUAACCUGCCUCAUACAGGGGGAUAACAGUUGGAAACGACUGUUAAUACCGCAUAAGGCCACAGCACCGCAUGGUGCGGGGGUAAAAACUCCGGUGGUAUGAGAUGGACCCGCGUUCGAUUAGCCAGUUGGCGGGGUAACGGCCCACCAAAGCGACGAUCGAUAGCCGAUCUGAGAGGAUGACCGGCCACAUUGGGACUGAGACACGGCCCAAACUCCUACGGGAGGCAGCAGUGGGGAAUAUUGCACAAUGGGGGAAACCCUGAUGCAGCGACGCCGCGUGAGUGAAGAAGUAUUUCGGUAUGUAAAGCUCUAUCAGCAGGGAAGAAAAUGACGGUACCUGAGUAAGAAGCCCCGGCUAACUACGUG
RNAcentral lists this ribosomal RNA (478 nucleotides) under uncultured bacterium. RNAcentral's name for it is "partial 16S ribosomal RNA". It matches the Rfam family "Bacterial small subunit ribosomal RNA", at positions 28 to 507 of the family's 1533-position model. The record is from RNAcentral.